AAGGCACAUACCCCAGUGGGCCUAAAAGCAGCCACCUGUAAAGAAAGCGUUAAAGCUCAAGCAAAGCGCAACCAACAAUAAAAAGAAACCCAUCCGAACUCCCUUCUAAUACUGAGCCCCCCUAUGAAAACAUAGAGAAGACAAUGCUAAAAUCAGUAAUAAGAGGGAAAAGCCCCUCUCCUCGCACAAUCGUGAGUCAGACAGGACACACCACUGGCACCUAACGGACCCAAAAGAGGGCAUAGCAAAGCAAUAAAACGCGAGCAAGAAAACCCUGCCUCAACUACCGUCAACCCGACACAGGACUGCACCAAGGAAAGACUAAAAGAGGGAGAAGGAACUCGGCAAACAAAAACCCCGCCUGUUUACCAAAAACAUCGCCUCUUGCUAACAAUGAAGUAUUAGAGGUCCCGCCUGCCCUGUGACAGCAGUGUUUAACGGCCGCGGUAUUUUAACCGCGCGAAGGUAGCGUAAUCACUUGUCUUUUAAAUGGAGACCUGUAUGAAUGGCAUAACGAGGGUUUAACUGUCUCCUUCCUCCAGUCAAUGAAAUUGAUCUGCCCGUGCAGAAGCGGGCAUAAUUACAUAAGACGAGAAGACCCUAUGGAGCUUCAGGCAAAUGAUCAAACACAUCAAACCCCUGUUUUUAAUAGCCUUGGGGAACAAACACCCCUGAUCAAAGUGCCUUCGGUUGGGGCGACCGUGGAGGAAAGAAAAGCCUCCAAGUGGAAUGAGAAAACCUCUCAGCCAAGAAAAACAACUCUAAGCGCCAGAAAAUCUGACCAACAAUGACCCAGGAU
Molecule: ribosomal RNA, 799 nt
Filed under: Gymnothorax maderensis (sharktooth moray)
Lineage: Eukaryota; Metazoa; Chordata; Actinopteri; Anguilliformes; Muraenidae
Description: partial 16S ribosomal RNA
Rfam family: Bacterial large subunit ribosomal RNA
Source: RNAcentral